CGCCUCUUGCCUAAAYAUAAGAGGUCCAGCCUGCCCAGUGACAAAGUUUAACGGCCGCAGUAACCUAACCGCGCAAAGGUAGCAUAAUCACUCGUUCUCUAAAUAAGGACUUGUAUCAACGGCACCACGAAGACUAUACUGUCUCCCUUUUCUAAUCAGUGAAACUGAUCUCCCCGUGAAGAAGCGGGGAUUUUUUUAUAAGACGAGAAGACCCCAUGGAGCUUAAAACUCGUCGUACAUCUCUUCACCCCAUAUCUAUUACCUAAGAAUACUUGUAUGUCAGUUUUUGGUUGGGGAGACCUCGGAGUAUAAUAAAACCUCCGCAAUAAAUGGAUUAACAUCUUUAUCUACGAGAAACAUCUCUAAGAACUAAUAUAUUAAUAUUUAUGACCCAACAAUUUGAUAAAUGAACCAAGUUACCCUGGGGAUAACAGCGCAAUCUACUUUAAGAGCCCAUAUCGACAAGUAGGUUUACGACCUCGAUGUUGGAUCAGGGUCUCCUAGUGGUGCAACCGCUACUAAAGGUUCGUUUGUUCAACGAUUAAAACCCU
This 551-nucleotide ribosomal RNA is filed under the name Lithobates warszewitschii. RNAcentral's name for it is "partial 16S ribosomal RNA". It matches the Rfam family "Bacterial large subunit ribosomal RNA", at positions 1829 to 2597 of the family's 2925-position model. Lineage: Eukaryota; Metazoa; Chordata; Amphibia; Anura; Ranidae. The record is from RNAcentral.